CAUUUUGUCUGAAUAUGUCCUAUCAUGGCACUCAUUGUUCAAUGAAAUGACUGCUGCCUUUCGACUGGGACAGAUCUUGAGAGGGCAUAAAGCUUGCUACACCUUAACCAAGGAGCUCCAAGAUACAGUUUGCAACAUACAGCAAUUCUGUUCCAAAUAGCUAACUACGAAGAUGCUAAUGUGUCCAGCAACCCGAACAAGCAGCCGGUGAUAAUAAAAGCCGUGCAGCAUUUUAGGCUGGAGAACGAGCGAGAUGCUCUCAAGCGCUUUCAAAGCCAGACUCCCUUUAUUCGCCCGCUGCUUGAUGAGAUUGUCGACCCACCAGACCCGCCAGCUAUCGUUCUUAGGCAUUUAGAUGACCAUCUUUUGAAUGCCUCUACUUCACGGACACUCACAUCCCGUGAGAUCAAAUACGUCGCC
RNAcentral lists this small RNA (420 nucleotides) under Histoplasma ohiense. Its description in RNAcentral is "hypothetical lncRNA". Lineage: Eukaryota; Fungi; Ascomycota; Eurotiomycetes; Onygenales; Ajellomycetaceae. The record is from RNAcentral.